This 547-nucleotide ribosomal RNA is filed under the name uncultured bacterium. RNAcentral's name for it is "partial 16S ribosomal RNA". It matches the Rfam family "Bacterial small subunit ribosomal RNA", at positions 355 to 893 of the family's 1533-position model. The record is from RNAcentral.
UAGGGAAUCUUCCACAAUGGACGCAAGUCUGAUGGAGCAACGCCGCGUGAGUGAAGAAGGUUUUCGGACCGUAAAGCUCUGUUGUUGGUGAAGAAGGAUAGAGGUAGUAACUGGCCUUUAUUUGACGGUAAUCAACCAGAAAGUCACGGCUAACUACGUGCCAGCAGCCGCGGUAAUACGUAGGUGGCAAGCGUUGUCCGGAUUUAUUGGGCGUAAAGCGAGCGCAGGCGGAAGAAUAAGUCUGAUGUGAAAGCCCUCGGCUUAACCGAGGAAUUGCAUCGGAAACUGUUUUCUUGAGUGCAGAAGAGGAGAGUAGAACUCCAUGUGUAGCGGUGGAAUGCGUAGAUAUAUGGAAGAAUACCAGUGGCGAAGGCGGCUCUCUGGUCUGCAACUGACGCUGAGGCUCGAAAGCAUGGUAGCGAACAGGAUUAGAUACCCUUGGUAGUCCAUGCCGUAAACGAUGAGUGCUAAGUGUUGGGAGGCUUCCGCCUCUCAGUGCUGCAGCUAACGCAUUAAGCACUCCGCCUGGGGGAGUACGACCGCAAGG